This 253-nucleotide ribosomal RNA is filed under the name uncultured bacterium. Its description in RNAcentral is "partial 16S ribosomal RNA". It matches the Rfam family "Bacterial small subunit ribosomal RNA", at positions 524 to 776 of the family's 1533-position model. The record is from RNAcentral.
UACGUAGGGGGCUAGCGUUGUCCGGAUUUAUUGGGCGUAAAGAGCGUGUAGGCGGCCAGGUAGGUCUGCUGUGAAAACUCGAGGCUCAACCUCGAGACGUCGGCGGAAACCAUCUGGCUAGAGUCCGGAAGAGGGGAGUGGAAUUCCUGGUGUAGCGGUGAAAUGCGCAGAUAUCAGGAAGAACACCCGUGGCGAAGGCGGCUCUCUGGGACGGUACUGACGCUGAGACGCGAAAGCGUGGGGAGCAAACAGG